Molecule: ribosomal RNA, 270 nt
Filed under: uncultured archaeon
Lineage: Archaea
Description: partial 16S ribosomal RNA
Rfam family: Archaeal small subunit ribosomal RNA
Source: RNAcentral
CAGCACCUCAAGUGGUCAGGAUGAUUAUUGGGCCUAAAGCAUCCGUAGCCGGCGCUGUAAGUUUUCGGUUAAAUCUGUACGCUCAACGUACAGGCUGCCGGGAAUACUGCAGCGCUAGGGAGUGGGAGAGGUAGACGGUACUCGGUAGGAAGGGGUAAAAUCCUUUGAUCUAUUGAUGACCGCCUGUGGCGAAGGCGGUCUACCAGAACACGUCCGACGGUGAGGGAUGAAAGCUGGGGGAGCAAACCGGAUUAGAUACCCGAGUAGUCC